Hippocampus comes (tiger tail seahorse) is the source of this 2072-nucleotide long non-coding RNA. RefSeq lists it as uncharacterized. The record is from RefSeq and is a predicted model, not a curated record. The transcript is spliced from 2 exons. Lineage: Eukaryota; Metazoa; Chordata; Actinopteri; Syngnathiformes; Syngnathidae.
UUUUUCUGUCGUCAGAUCAUACUUUGAAUCAUAUGUCUCUCUGGAUGUUUUUUUUCCCCCCUUUUUCUUCCAGAGCCGUAUCACAAAGACUCCGCCCAUGCUGGCUGCGAUUCAAUAGAGAAGCAUUCUCCUUUUAAUGGUGUGAGCGCAAACCAAUCACAGCACCCUGUGCUCCCCCUCCGCUCCCGAACCUCCAGCCAAUCCCAGACAGCCUCGCUCCACACAUGACACUAUGUGCUGCUGUCCAUCAAAAGCCUCAUAUAUAGUGCAUGCACGAAAAUGUUAAACAGUUUCCAAACUUGUGCCUUGUCUUUUUGCGGGUGUGUUUGUGUGUACGGUUGCUAGUGUGUGUGUACCUCUGUGUGUGUGAGCGUGUACGUGCGAGCGUGCACGUGAGUGUGCAGAGUGUGUUUGUGCAGAGUGGGGGGUGGAUGCAUGUGGGAAUGUGGUUUCUUGUUUAUCUAUGAAGCUGUGCAGAAGGCGCGAGAGGGAGAGAGGGAGGGCUUGAGUGAGGGAGAGAGGGAGAGAGAGAGAGAGAGAGAGAGAGAGAGAGAGAUAUUUGUGAGCCACUUGUAUUUGCAAACUCCUGGCUGAGGUCCCACUGGCGGCAGGAAGAUCGGACUGAAAGAGUGCAUGUCAGGAUUGUGCGCCACUGUGUGCUUGUACAUGUGUCUGGGUGAGACAAACAGGCAGAGAGAGGACGCAUUCAAUCCAUUUCACCCACAUAGGCCGGUUUAAUAUUUCAUGCCUGACUAUGGAAGUGUUGCCCCAUUUCUACUAUCCAGCCACAAUACAUUGCUGUUGUCCAACUUUUGGUCCCGUUGCCGGCAGAACGAGACAAGACAGCACCGCUCAUCAUUCUGAAGAAGGUGGGGAUGAAGAUAAAACGAUGAACGAGUUUACUGGCAUAUCUGAAGAGCUAUUUUCAGGGAAAUCCAAGCCUCCGCAUCAUCAUCAUCAUCAUCAUCAUCAUCCUCAUUCCUUCUGGUUUGCCGGCAACGUCAUUUAAACCUCAACAUGAGCAUGGGUGGUAACACAUGGUGGAGCACGGCUUACCCACUCAGGCCAAGAGAAAUACCCACGCAAAAAGUUAAACAGCACUUUGGUUUGAAGGCUUCAAUUUUCAACCGACUGCUGAAAGCUGAAGCCAGAUCACAGAAACAACUGAUACCGUGGCAAAUUUACAUACGCUCCAUAAUUUAAAUCUGGAACUGCAGACAUUUUAAAAAACAAGCGGUAUGGGCGGCAACCGGCAAACUAGUGUGGGAUUUUCCACUUGCCGGAGACAAAACGAAGCGACAAUAAGAACCAUGCAACCAAUGGAAAGGGAAAAAAAAUGUGCUGUGCUUUUUGAUCUUUCUCAAAGUUUGUGUGUGUUUAAGUUGUUCGGCCAGUGAAACAUCUGCCAUCAAUCAAACAGCAACGGCGAGGUCCAUAAUCUGUGUCGGUGUCCACAGUGAACAUUCAACGCUGUCGGUGAGUUUGAACUCAGGCAAAACCAUCGACCGUUGACUGUACCCUGAGGGGCGCCAUGAGCUUCUUGAAAUAUCCUGCGACCGUUCCACGGAUGCUGGAUUCCUAACGCUCGCCUGCUGAAGAAUUUGUUUAGGACGGACCGGACACUUUGGCUUCACCUGUAAAUGCUGCAAUAAACAUUCAUUGCUGUCGGUGGGUUGACACGAGAAUAACUCACUGAUCAAUGAAUGCAAACUGCGGUAAACUGUCUCAGAGAGGCUGAGGAGAUGACACCGAACACAAAUUCUGACAAUAUGCAACGAUGAAACAAUAUGGAUAGAACAUAGAUUGGAAUAGAGUGGUGGCCCUACCUCCUUUAAAGCACAAAAAUGAAAAUGUGGAACUUGAUUGAGUUCAGUGCUCUUUGCUUUUGCUCGUAAUUAGGAACACAUUUUGUCUUAUCUGCUGUGAGACCGACUCGACUGUGAUUGGUGUUCAACAAGACAUGUUUCUUGUAAGAGUUCAACAAUGCAAAUGAAGACCAAAGAGUGUCAACAAACAUUCCUAAAACUUUUCUGAUGGAUUUUUCAAAAAUAAAUAAAGACUAUCACAUGCUU